UGGGGAAUUUUGGACAAUGGGCGAAAGCCUGAUCCAGCAAUGCCGCGUGUGUGAAGAAGGCCUUCGGGUUGUAAAGCACUUUUGUCCGGAAAGAAAUCCUUGGCUCUAAUACAGUCGGGGGAUGACGGUACCGGAAGAAUAAGCACCGGCUAACUACGUGCCAGCAGCCGCGGUAAUACGUAGGGUGCAAGCGUUAAUCGGAAUUACUGGGCGUAAAGCGUGCGCAGGCGGUUUGCUAAGACCGAUGUGAAAUCCCCGGGCUCAACCUGGGAACUGCAUUGGUGACUGGCAGGCUAGAGUAUGGCAGAGGGGGGUAGAAUUCCACGUGUAGCAGUGAAAUGCGUAGAGAUGUGGAGGAAUACCGAUGGCGAAGGCAGCCCCCUGGGCCAAAUACUGACGCUCAUGCACGAAAGCGUGGGGAGCAAACAGGAUUAGAUACCCUGGUAGUCCACGCCCUAAACGAUGUCAACUAGUUGUUGGGGAUUCAUUUCCUUAGUAACGUAGCUAACGCGUGAAGUUGACCGCCUGUGGAGUACGGUCGCAAGAUU
This 548-nucleotide ribosomal RNA is filed under the name uncultured bacterium. RNAcentral describes it as "partial 16S ribosomal RNA". It matches the Rfam family "Bacterial small subunit ribosomal RNA", at positions 355 to 895 of the family's 1533-position model. The record is from RNAcentral.